Molecule: ribosomal RNA, 253 nt
Filed under: uncultured bacterium
Lineage: Bacteria
Description: partial 16S ribosomal RNA
Rfam family: Bacterial small subunit ribosomal RNA
Source: RNAcentral
CACGGGGGGAGCAAGCGUUGUUCGGAAUCAUUGGGCGUAAAGCGCGUGUAGGCGGCCAAGUAAGUGGGAUGUGAAAUCCCCCGGCUUACCCGGGGACCUGCAUCUCAUACUGCUUGGCUUGAGUAUGGGAGAGGAUGAGGGAAUUCCUGGUGUAGCGGUGAAAUGCGUAGAUAUCAGGAGGAACACCGGUGGCGAAGGCGCUCAUCUGGCCCAAUACUGACGCUGAGGAGCGAAAGCGUGGGGAGCGAACAGG